ACGCAACGCGAAGAACCUUACCAAGGCUUGAAAUGCAAGUGAAGCGGUGGAAACGCGUGGCCGAAAGGAGCUUGCACAGGUGGUGCAUGGUUGUCGUCAGCUCGUGUCGUGAGAUGUUGGGUUAAGUCCCGCAACGAGCGCAACCCCUGUGGUUAGUUGCCAGCAAGUAGCGUUGGGCACUCUAGCCAGACUGCCGGUGAUAAAUCGGAGGAAGGUGGGGACGACGUCAAAUCAUCAUGCCCUUUAUGUCCUGGGCUACACACGUACUACAAUGGCCGUUUACAACGGGAAGCGAAGGAGCAAUCCGGAGCGAAAUCCCUUAAAGGCGGUCCCAGUUCAGAUUGUGGGCUGAAACUCGCCCACAUGAAGGCGGAAUUGCUAGUAAUUGCAGAUCAGCAUGCUGCAGUGAAUACGUUCCCGGGCCUU
RNAcentral lists this ribosomal RNA (426 nucleotides) under uncultured Synergistaceae bacterium. Its description in RNAcentral is "bacterial SSU rRNA". It matches the Rfam family "Bacterial small subunit ribosomal RNA", at positions 954 to 1382 of the family's 1533-position model. Lineage: Bacteria; Thermotogati; Synergistota; Synergistia; Synergistales; Synergistaceae. The record is from RNAcentral.